Small nucleolar RNA from Melitaea cinxia (Glanville fritillary), 85 nucleotides. The record is from RefSeq and is a predicted model, not a curated record. NCBI's taxonomy places the organism in Eukaryota, Metazoa, Arthropoda, Insecta, Lepidoptera, Nymphalidae.
UAUUUAUGAUGAUUUGCCAUGCUAAUACUGAGAAAGUUCCAGACUUUUACUGAGUUGAAUAUAUGUUUUCUGAAGCUAUGAAUAU